AACGAACGCUGGCGGCAUGCCUAACACAUGCAAGUCGAACGAGACCUUCGGGUCUAGUGGCGCACGGGUGCGUAACGCGUGGGAACCUGCCCUUAUGUUCGGAAUAACUCCCCGAAAGGGGUGCUAAUACCGGAUAAUGUCUUCGGACCAAAGAUUUAUCGCCUUUGGAUGGGCCCGCGUUGGAUUAGCUAGUUGGUAGGGUAAAAGCCUACCAAGGCGACGAUCCAUAGCUGGUCUGAGAGGAUGAUCAGCCACACUGGGACUGAGACACGGCCCAGACUCCUACGGGAGGCAGCAGUGGGGAAUAGUGGACAAUGGGCGAAAGCCUGAUCCAGCAAUGCCGCGUGAGUGAUGAAGGCCUUAGGGUUGUAAAGCUCUUUUACCCGGGAUGAUAAUGACAGUACCGGGAGAAUAAGCUCCGGCUAACUCCGUG
Molecule: ribosomal RNA, 433 nt
Filed under: uncultured bacterium
Lineage: Bacteria
Description: partial 16S ribosomal RNA
Rfam family: Bacterial small subunit ribosomal RNA
Source: RNAcentral